GCCUGCCGAAUCCUCUCCGCCAUCUCAGUGUCCUCCAAUUCCAUGACUGGAGUCCACCACAGGGCAGUGCGACUUGGACUGCUGGCCCUUUCUCCCGGCUCCUGGCUCAGUAACCUGGGAGGGAGAGAAUCUGAUCCCUCCAGGUCCCUGGGUGAGGCCAGCGGAUGUUAGGAUGUCGCACCUGGCAGCCCAGCCCCUGGCUCUUCAGCCACCAAUCAAGGCACUGAGAAGAAGUUCGCGGCAGGUGGCAUCAAGGUCGCCAAUCAGCUGACCAUAAAAUAGGGAGCUGGGCCUGACGCUCGGGCCCAGCACAGCCACGUGAACCCUGAGAAGCGGGAGAGGCGGGGGAAGAAGAAAUUCGCUCUGCCCUCAGUAGCUCUGCAGGCCGAGGGCAGCACUUGGCCUCUGGGCUCGGAGAAUGGUCCGCACCAUCUCCCAGACACGGGGCUCUUGGUCGGACGGGAGCUGAAUUCUGCAAACCUGGAUGAGCAGGGACUCAGAGGGGUCCACUGAGUUUCCAGAAAGACAGCAGCCCGGCUGGGAACCUGACUUCGGCCUUGUGACCUCUGACCUAUAGAGAGUAUAAGGGGCAGGCACUACCAGUGUUUUGUGUUUGCAAACCAAAACUCGGAGGAGGCUCAUCCAGAAGCAGGAAGUUGGCAAAAUAUAGAGGUAACUGUGAUGACAGUUCAUCAAAACUUUGGAGCACCAAGAGAGUUUGAACGUUCCUACGGAGCACUGUGAAGCUGCAGACGUGCCAGUUACCACAUUCAUCACCACACAUCCUGAAUUGUCAAUGCAGCCCAGAACUGCAGUUAGGGAUGUGUCACUUAAAAAUGAAAACACAUUUAAAAAUGCUGACAGCUCUAGAAUCUCAUUAUCAGCCCAUUCUCCUCUGAAAACUGCUUACUUCCUAGCUAUUCCCAGACUGCAGCUUCUUUCUGCACUCUGCCAGCUCCUAAAUCUUCCAACUUCCUCCCAGUUCUUCCUCUAACCUAGAUGGAUGCAAGUCAAACCAUGCACAUCCAAAAGGAAAUUUAAUACCUUACCCUAUGUUUUUACCAAAAUGUCACUGAUUCCUGAUAGUUAACAGAAUCACUUGUCCAAAGCAGAAAUUCGGUGGCUCCCCAAGUUCACUUUUGCUUGUCCUUACAUCCAAUUAGACAUCACAUUUUACAAAUUCUACCUCAAAUAUUUCAUGCCUAGUUUCCUUCUCACCAUCCUCCCUGCCAAUUCUUUAUUUUUUUGUACCUGGGAUUGAACUCGUGACACCUUGUUGCACUCCAAGGCCCGUGGCAGAGCGGAACCACCGAGCUAAUCCCCGGGUGCCCCCUGCCAAUUAUUUACAGUGGAAUCUAAAAAUCUCCUGCCCAGCUAUUACAGUAGCUUUCUUCUCUCCCAUCUUACACUGAUCCAAGGUACCUCUGCUUUAUUUGGCUCCUUGAGUGAGCGUUUUGAAAUAUGGAUUAAAUGAGUCUACCCUCCAAUGUUAACCUCUAGGGCAGUAAAGAGAUUUGGGAUCCAGGGAUAUCUGAGAUGUUAUGUUUGUGCUUUCAGGAUUAACCCUUUCUUUUACUCUCAGAAGUGUGCACAGGACUCUAUCCUAGCUACUUUCACGUUUACGGUGCCAGUUAACCCCGAUUCUCCUCUUGAAUGCCUCAAGAGAGACCUGAGAGUGAGCCUAUUGGAGGAAGUGUGUCAUGGGGCAUGACCUUGGAGACUGUCUCUUUCCUUUGUGGUGCUGUUUCCCCACUCUGCUUCCUGGCCACCAUGAACUGAGCGAGCAGCUUUGCUUCACCAUAAUGUUCCUGCCUUGGAACCAGCUAACCAUGGACUGAACCUUCUGAAACCAUGAGCCAAAUUAUACCUCUGCUCUCUUAAGGUGCAGGUGUCAGGCAUUUUGUCCCAGUGACAAAACCUGACUAAUGACACACAGCUAACUUCUAUUUUUCUGUCUCCUUUAAUAAAGCAAUUCUUAACCAUGAGAAGCUGCAUUGAUGAUCUUCAGAGAAUAAAUGGGUAACAGCUUUUGCUUGUGGCUAUUACUGUUAUCACUCAAACAAUGGAGACUUCAUAGUCUUGCCAUUUUCAUAAACAAUUUCUGAGAAGUCACCUGUCUACCUGAAAUACAUAUAACACAUGUGACCAGAAAAACUUUAUAGUGUAUAGAGGCCAAACCCAACAAAAUAUGGCAAAAUGUGACAUACUGGGACA
Molecule: long non-coding RNA, 2214 nt
Organism: Heterocephalus glaber (naked mole-rat)
Lineage: Eukaryota; Metazoa; Chordata; Mammalia; Rodentia; Bathyergidae
Source: Ensembl